Molecule: ribosomal RNA, 501 nt
Filed under: uncultured bacterium
Lineage: Bacteria
Description: partial 16S ribosomal RNA
Rfam family: Bacterial small subunit ribosomal RNA
Source: RNAcentral
AUUGAACGCUGGCGGCAGGCUUAACACAUGCAAGUCGAGCGGGGAAGGGUAGCUUGCUACCUGACCUAGCGGCGGACGGGUGAGUAAUGCUUAGGAAUCUGCCUAUUAGUGGGGGACAACAUUCCGAAAGGAAUGCUAAUACCGCAUACGCCCUACGAGGGAAAGCAGGGGAUCUUCGGACCUUGCGCUAAUAGAUGAGCCUAAGUCAGAUUAGCUAGUUGGUGGGGUAAAGGCCUACCAAGGCGACGAUCUGUAGCGGGUCUGAGAGGAUGAUCCGCCACACUGGGACUGAGACACGGCCCAGACUCCUACGGGAGGCAGCAGUGGGGAAUAUUGGACAAUGGGCGAAAGCCUGAUCCAGCCAUGCCGCGUGUGUGAAGAAGGCCUUUUGGUUGUAAAGCACUUUAAGCGAGGAGGAGGCUACUUAGAUUAAUACUCUAGGAUAGUGGACGUUACUCGCAGAAUAAGCACCGGCUAACUCUGUGCCAGCAGCCGCGGUAA